RNAcentral lists this transfer RNA (77 nucleotides) under Bacteroidota bacterium. RNAcentral's name for it is "Bacteroidetes bacterium (aquatic metagenome) tRNA-Met". It matches the Rfam family "tRNA". From Rfam's summary of the family: Transfer RNA (tRNA) molecules are approximately 80 nucleotides in length. Their secondary structure includes four short double-helical elements and three loops (D, anti-codon, and T loops). Further hydrogen bonds mediate the characteristic L-shaped molecular structure. tRNAs have two regions of fundamental functional importance: the anti-codon, which is responsible for specific mRNA codon recognition, and the 3' end, to which the tRNAs corresponding amino acid is attached (by aminoacyl-tRNA synthetases). tRNAs cope with the degeneracy of the genetic code in two manners: having more than one tRNA (with a specific anti-codon) for a particular amino acid; and 'wobble' base-pairing, i.e. permitting non-standard base-pairing at the 3rd anti-codon position. Lineage: Bacteria; Pseudomonadati; Bacteroidota. The record is from RNAcentral.
GGACCCAUAGCUCAGCUGGUUAGAGCAGCGGACUCAUAAUCCGUUGGUCCGGGGUUCAAGUCCCUGUGGGUCCACAA